This 200-nucleotide long non-coding RNA is filed under the name Nicotiana benthamiana. RNAcentral's name for it is "long non-coding RNA (NBEN_LNC014639)". The record is from RNAcentral. Lineage: Eukaryota; Viridiplantae; Streptophyta; Magnoliopsida; Solanales; Solanaceae.
AUAGGGUCCUGUGCUUCCUCUCUCUCUCAACAUUAAUACAGUUCUUUGAGUUGUAGUAAUAAGUAGAGAAAAGAUCUUUUUAGAAGAGAAAAAAAACAAAACAGAACCUGGGACUCUUCAGUUUAAGGUUAGUGUACCAGCUACUGAAUUGAUUUUACAUCCUUGCAUUUCAAUUCAGAAUCUUUGUGGCUGCUUCUGUG